Molecule: non-coding RNA, 48 nt
Organism: Schistosoma mansoni
Lineage: Eukaryota; Metazoa; Platyhelminthes; Trematoda; Strigeidida; Schistosomatidae
Source: Rfam
AUCCAGCUGAUGAGCCCCAAAUAGGACGAAACGCGCGUCAAACUGGAU